CUGUUCUUUUUUCAUUCUUUAAUCCUCGAAAAAUUCAAUUGUGAUUAAGAAAUAGAAAUUCAGUGUUUCAUGUUUCAUCGAUGGAAAUUAUCCGAUUCAAGAAAUUGUCUCCAUGAAUUUCAUAUCGUUCGAGGUUCAAACGACUUUCUUCAUAACAUGUCCACCUUUGAACCUCGUUUAAUUCAUGUGACACCCACUUCGCUGCAAUCUUGCGCAUGUGUACGUCUUUUCGUAAAAUUCGAUGCACAGUUGCCUGGUCAAUCCCUGUAUGUCUCUCUAACUCCUUCAGAGACCAGCGCCUAUCUUCCUCCAUGCACUGGGCGAUCACGGCACGAGAAACAUUGGUACGAAUGGACACAGGGCGUCCACUACGUUGCAAGUCUGCACUUGCUUCUCUUCCACGUUGGAAUGCUUCUAUCAACCUUGCAACCAGAGUUCCACAAGCUCUGAGUGACAUUCAGUCGCAUUUCUGAAGCGAAGCACUGCUAUUUUCACGUAACAGCGCUGUUCCAGCCGGCUAACGUUCAUUCUCGACGAAGGUUAUGACCACACCGACUUCGCGCUGGACCCGCUUUGUUGGCCUUAGACAUCAUCUAGCGGCAUCAUUAGAAAUCAGACGUUGUUGUCUCUCAGCGGCAAAUUUGGAAAUUCCGGUCGAAGCUUUCGAAAUUUCGGAAAAAUUAUGUUGCCAUGACUUAUGAAGUAACCCAUGUAUAUACCCAAUUUCAGUGAAAUCUGUCAUUCAAUAUUGUAGAUGAAAGAAACAGAUACAACCUCCCCAGUAUGCAUUCAUUUCAUGCACUUCAUGCACAGAACACACAAAAAGAGCUGAGUUAGAAGGAAAUUCUGAUACAUGUUUCAGAUGUCACUGACUCACUGCUGUGGCUUAAUCCAUUACUUGUGUACACUAUGUUUCUACUGCAUUUUAGUACAGGUAAAGGUAAAGUUCUCCCUGUCCUUAAUUAAGAAGGAUACCAUGAAGAUAUAUGGGGAGUGGAAGUAUAGCUCCAUCAUAUUUGACCUCUGCACCAGUUGGAGUUAUAAUUUAAUAUGAAAAUAGUGUAAAACAGCCGCUUCUUUGCAAGAAUGGUAUUGAUCGGACAUACCAGUGCUUGUAUAGUGGGAUGGCAGUAGUCUGCACCUACAGUAACUUCCUCUGUGACAAAGUACAUGAUGUCCUCAUUUCAGUAUGUUCAUACCUAUGUGAAAACUGAAUUAACUUCCUUAUAAAUUCUUUAUAUGUCUGUAUUUGUGCCUUCAUUAGUGAGAAUGCAACUCUUGUUGUACAGACAGGAGAAAACUAAAGCUUUCUAGAAGAUAAAAUUGCCCAUAUUAUAUAUCCCUUCUGAAAAUAUAUCUACCUGUUUGACUAUUAGUUUGCAGUGUACUGCUUUCUUGUUUACAUGUUUACAUGUCACUGUGUGAAGCGAGCAUGCAGAAUAUUUAUAACAUGCUGACCCUUUUGUUAAAGGUAUUGCUUAUGUAUAAAUAAUAUUCUGGAAUUGUAAUUUCCAUGUAAGAUUUGAGGCUUUCACGGCAGUGACUAUGAAGAAAGCAGUCUUCUGGGGGCGAUACGUUCCUCCGAAACGUCGGUUAACACCACAUAUACACGGUGCCAAAUCCCAGAAGACUGCUUUCUUCUGUAAUUUCCAUGUUAGUCAAUGCAAGAUACAAGUCUUCUAAAGAGAUAAUUCACAGGAGUUGCUUUCAUAGAUAAUAGAAGAAUUUUUCUAUUAGUGACUGUUUAGCAAUAUAACGUGAAUAUGUAAGUUUGUUGCUGUAAUUGUGUGGACCUGUGUUCCUUGUGAUUAACAGAGAUAACUGGCAUUCUCAAUAAUGGAGACCUGUUGUUGGAAAGCACACAUCAUUGUGCUUAUCUUGCAGAUACUUGCAUCUCUCCAAAUUGAGAAGAAGAGUAAAUAAAGUUUGAACCUGAAAGUUCCCUACAUCGUGUACUGUAUUUUAAACAUAUUUUCAGAUAUUUGUCCUUCUUGAAAGAAUAUGUCUUCCUGACUUACAGGUGUUCAAGAAGUUUGGAUUAUAUGUUAUGCUCAGUAUGGACCAGUAUAGGAAAGUCAACAAUGCCAGUAUUCUUGAAACUUCCACCCCAUAGCAUGUCAUAUGGUAGGGUCAUAAUAGCCUGGACAUAAUACCAGUAUAUUCACAUAAAUCGUUACCACUAUGGCAUGCACCCUCCUAAUGAACGAAUUUAUUGUUUUAAGGUGUAUCCAGGGGUAGGAGUGGACUUUCAGAGCUACAUAAAAAUUCCAGUUCAGCCCAGGGGAUGACAAACUUGUAUUAAAAUGAGAAUAUUACAUGACAGGCUUGUAAAUUUGUUCCUACAUAUGUCAUUAAUAGAAAUGGUAGUUAUGUUGUCUUAAGAAACUGAAAGAAGCUUCCUUAAAAUGAAGUGUUUUAGAACAAAGUACAUGGCGUUUACCCACUUCUACCCCAAUUUCCAGCCCUAGAUAUAUUCUGCCAGUGAAUUUUUGCUGUGCUUCAAGUCUAUUUUGUUUCAGCUAAUAGUUGAGAGAGCAAAUAGAAAACUUUCAUGAAUAAUGCAUAUGGUAAAGUGAAGGAGAGAUGCUUAUUAUUAUUUGUUAGGCAUUCUGUGAACAUCAGUCAAAGUCAGACUUGUGCAUAAAGGGGAAAUAUUAAUAAAUGACAUGAACCUGAAGGACUUGAAGUUAAUUUCUGUUAGAAACUGAUAAAUAAAACAAUGGCCUUAAUGUAUGAAUCUUGAAGUUGAAUCUGAUAAAAUUCACUACAUGUCUGUGCUAACCCUUAUGUGGCAAAAGCACUGCAUCAUAUAAGCAUUAUACAGUAGUAUUGCUCGCAUAUCAGACUGACUGCAUUUUUUAACUUGUUAUUUAACCUAAAAUAAGUCUUUUGGAAUACUGGAAUCACAUGAUGGAUUCUUAGCAUUUGCUAUAAAAGGGUAGACAUUUGAAUUUUUGAAAAAUGAAUACAUUCUGUAUCGAUGAAUUCAGAUUAUUUUUAAGACAGAAAAAUAUACAUUGGAGUGAACACAAUUCGAGGAGAAUACUAGAUGAGGUUAAUGAUGUUUCUUGACCUCUGUAUGCAGCAGAAGCCUGAUGUCUAUGCCUGGGAGGUCUUUUGUGUAUGAAGUAGGGUAUAUUAAUAUUUACUUAGUUGCUUGCUACAUAUAUAAGGAUAUUCAUGUAAGACAGUGGUCACUCACUUUUAAUCAUCUUGAUAUAUACAGUCCUUACUGGUCUGAUGUCGCUCUGCACAGGGGAAUGUAUCAUCUCUCUUUGUUAUGUUUAAAUAAAUCAAUUAUGGAUUGAUUCCAAACAGUUAGCAUGCCAAGAACAGUUGUCUGUUGCAUCCAUGUCUAGGUAAAUCUCCUUAAAUUGUUGAUGGGCCCUUUCUUACCAGUGUAUACAUUUGUAACUUCAGCUGUUCUAUGUACUUUAGUUACCAGCUUCAAUAUUAUGUUUAAAUUUUAUUAUUUAUUUAGUUUAUUUAGGGUUCUGAGUUUUCUGUGACAAAACAAAUUUAACUGUCUUUCUUAGAGAUAAUGAAAGGAUGUGUAUUUAUCUAUGUCUGUUGGUUACAGAAGUGUCUGAAAUGAUUAAUUACCAUAAUGAUAGUGGAAGUCACCAUCAUUGUGCAUGUCAUGCGAUUCUCCUUGUAUAAAUGAGGUUCUUGAUCAAGUUAACAUGUAACUGGAAGUUAUUUGUAUUGUAUUAUGGGAGCUUUCACUGUAUACAAACCAUGAUUAUGUGGUAUAUAGAUAUUACUAUUAAUUGUGUAUACUUCGAUAUUAUGGGAAUAUUAAACAAAUAUAUUGCGGGUAGGCCCUGUACAAAACAAAGGACCCCUACCAAGCCAUUCUGUUUGUUAGCAUCUCCUAAAUCAGUGGAUAAUGAAACUAUUAAUAGCUGAGAAUGAAGAAUGGUUUAAAGAAACUUGACAGUUAUGAAUAAUGUGCUAAACAGAUAAUGUGCUAAUAGUUCCUGAUGAAUCUCCUUUAUUCUUUAUUCCCCUUGUUAGGUAUAAAUCUCUGACAGUUUAGUGCGAAAGUGAGUGUCCAAGUAUAUAACAUAAUACUAGUUUACCCCAUUGUAUGCUAUAUAAUAUAUAUAUGUAUACUGACCAAGAUGUAACAAUUGUAGCCAGGUAUGUCAACCAAAAAGGAUGUUAUUAUACGCUUCAACCAUUUAUCAAGUACCAAAAAUAUCGUAAUAAAUGGAUGAGUGGCUUUUUUAAAUAUAAUAUAUAUAUAUAUGAAAAUGAGAGAGAAAAUGAGAAGGAAGGAGUUGACUGAGUAUGACAUUCCUUACGGUGUGAUGCGUAUUGUGCUGCUUGUUGCCUAUAAUCAGAUGUUGAGGGUCUCUGAGGUGAACAUGUCUAGUCCCUACCUACACUGUCACUAGCCACUGCCUCUCUAUAUGGUUGUAAGCAAAAUCAUGUACAUUUGAUGCUACACUAGGGCAUAUGUUGCCAUGUUACUGAUUACCCUGGAUAUUUAUGCCUGAUUUAUCAUGUUAAUGUAAUGGACUAGGCUGUGGCUGCAGUGAUAGUGCUCAGGGACAAAGGUAUACCAAACCGAGUGUCCAGUGUUAAAUUUCACAUCAGUAACACUAGUCACAAAUUGGUCUACCUAAUAUUUGGUAGACAAAGAAAGUAGAAAGUUUUUGGUCGUUGUUUUGGGACUAGUGAAUGUAUUCAGUUGAGAUCAUUUUUAUUUCAAAAAUAAUUUUUUUCUAAAUAUAUUAGUGAAAGCUAAGACUAACAACACAUAUUAUCAAAAGGGGAAAAAAAUCUGAUAUCGAUACAUGAAGUUGGUUCAGUCCACAUUAUUGUCCAGAUUAUUACGGUUAAAAUUCAUACAUCUAUUCCGUGGGGUAUGCCCCUGUAAAUUUAAUUCUAGUGCCUGUAUUUUGUUAGGACAUGCUGUUUGCAUGACUCUUGGAUGCCCCUAGAAAUGGUGACAUUAUCUAGCAGUGUGACUCGACCUUGCAGGGUACAUAUAUCAUUCAUGUAAAUACUGUACAUUGUAUUAUUAUUAUUAUUAUUAUAAUUAUAAUAAUUAUUAUUAUUAUUACUACUACUACUAUUACUAUUAUUAUAUAUAUUUGACUGGUACUGAAUGCUGUAAUUGUAUAGUUUUGCUUUCUUUUCUUUUGGUGGGGUCUGAGUCCCUGCUAACCCGUAUUCUUUGUUUGUAACAAAAAGUUUGCCUUUGCUAUAUCCAAACAGCCGUGCUAUAUAAACCGUAGCAGGUUAUAUAUACACGUUAAGCCUGUGGUGCUGGUGGGAUUGUCGAGAACUCUGCAUCCAAAGUUGGUGAUCAUAUCACCAGUAACUGAACUGACUACUGACACUAACUUGUAAAUUGUA
Long non-coding RNA from Cryptotermes secundus, 5367 nucleotides. RefSeq lists it as uncharacterized. Lineage: Eukaryota; Metazoa; Arthropoda; Insecta; Blattodea; Kalotermitidae. The transcript has 2 exons. The record is from RefSeq and is a predicted model, not a curated record.